AUUGAACGCUGGCGGCAGGCCUAACACAUGCAAGUCGAACGAGUGGCGGACGGGUGAGUAAUGUCUGGGAAACUGCCUGAUGGAGGGGGAUAAAUACUGGAAACGGUAGCUAAUACCGCAUACCAUCGGAUGUGCCAAGAUGGGAUUAGCUAGUAGGUGGGGUAACGGCUCACCUAGGCGACGAACCCUAGCUGGUCUGAGAGGAUGACCAGCCACACUGGAACUGAGACACGGUCCAGACUCCUACGGGAGGCAGCAGUGGGGAAUAUUGCAAAGUGGGCGCAAGCCUGAUGCAGCCAUGCCGCGUGUAUGAAGAAGGCCUUCGGGUUGUAAAGUACUUUCAGCGGGGAGGCGUUACCCGCAUAAGAAGCACCGGCUAACUCCGGGCCAGCCGCCGCGGUAAUAC
Molecule: ribosomal RNA, 406 nt
Filed under: uncultured bacterium
Lineage: Bacteria
Description: partial 16S ribosomal RNA
Rfam family: Bacterial small subunit ribosomal RNA
Source: RNAcentral